AUGUUCUGGGAAAUUCUUCAAUGCCUUCUUGGCUCUGUUCAGAUUGUUUAUAUACGUAGAAGUUGAGACACAGACAGUUACAAACCAGGCAGUUCAAAGAUCUAUUUAUCAGUACUAUAACCACCACCACUUUGAGAUCAUAUAUACACGGUUUUGGAUUUGAUUUAAUCUAAGCAAAAAGCUUUACUUAGAGAUAUUCAAAUACAAACACUUGGAAAGCAAAAAUGCAGUGUCUUAUUGCAUUAGCGACAGGAACACUGACAAA
Vigna umbellata (rice bean) is the source of this 265-nucleotide non-coding RNA. The record is from RefSeq and is a predicted model, not a curated record. Lineage: Eukaryota; Viridiplantae; Streptophyta; Magnoliopsida; Fabales; Fabaceae.